This 504-nucleotide ribosomal RNA is filed under the name uncultured bacterium. RNAcentral's name for it is "partial 16S ribosomal RNA". It matches the Rfam family "Bacterial small subunit ribosomal RNA", at positions 30 to 523 of the family's 1533-position model. The record is from RNAcentral.
AUUGAACGCUGGCGGCAGGCCUAACACAUGCAAGUCGAACGGUAGCACAGAGAGCUUGCUCUCGGGUGACGAGUGGCGGACGGGUGAGUAAUGUCUGGGAAACUGCCCAAUGGAGGGGGAUAACUACUGGAAACGGUAGCUAAUACCGCAUAACGUCUUCGGACCAAAGUGGGGGACCUUCGGGCCUCACACCAUCGGAUGUGCCCAGAUGGGAUUAGCUAGUAGGUGGGGUAAUGGCUCACCUAGGCGACGAUCCCUAGCUGGUCUGAGAGGAUGACCAGCCACACUGGAACUGGGACACGGUCCAGACUCCUACGGGAGGCAGCAGUGGGGAAUAUUGCACAAUGGGCGCAAGCCUGAUGCAGCCAUGCCGCGUGUAUGAAGAAGGCCUUCGGGUUGUAAAGUACUUUCAGCGGGGAGGAAGGCGAUGGAGUUAAUAGCUUCAUCGAUUGACGUUACCCGCAGAAGAAGCACCGGCUAACUCCGUGCCAGCAGCCGCCGUAA